Molecule: ribosomal RNA, 447 nt
Filed under: uncultured bacterium
Lineage: Bacteria
Description: bacterial SSU rRNA
Rfam family: Bacterial small subunit ribosomal RNA
Source: RNAcentral
GUCCAGACUCCUACGGGAGGCAGCAGUGGGGAAUAUUGCACAAUGGGGGAAACCCUGAUGCAGCGACGCCGCGUGAGUGAGGAAGUAUUUCGGUAUGUAAAGCUCUAUCAGCAGGGAAGAAAAUGACGGUACCUGACUAAGAAGCCCCGGCUAACUACGUGCCAGCAGCCGCGGUAAUACGUAGGGGGCAAGCGUUAUCCGGAUUUACUGGGUGUAAAGGGAGCGUAGACGGCUGCGCAAGUCAGAAGUGAAAGCCCGGGGCUCAACCGCGGGACUGCUUUUGAAACUGUGUAGCUAGAGUGCAGGAGAGGUAAGUGGAAUUCCUAGUGUAGCGGUGAAAUGCGUAUAUAUUAGGAGGAACACCGGUGGCGAAGGCGGCUUACUGGACUGUAACUGACGUUGAGGCUCGAAAGCGUGGGGAGCAAACAGGAUUAGAUACCCGGGUAU